RNAcentral lists this ribosomal RNA (468 nucleotides) under uncultured bacterium. RNAcentral's name for it is "partial 16S ribosomal RNA". It matches the Rfam family "Bacterial small subunit ribosomal RNA", at positions 28 to 507 of the family's 1533-position model. The record is from RNAcentral.
GACGAACGCUGGCGGCGUGCUUAACACAUGCAAGUCGAACGGAAAGGCCCUGCUUUUGUGGGGUGCUCGAGUGGCGAACGGGUGAGUAACACGUGAGUAACCUGCCCUUGACUUUGGGAUAACUUCAGGAAACUGGGGCUAAUACCGGAUAGGAGCUCCUGCUGCAUGGUGGGGGUUGGAAAGUUUCGGCGGUUGGGGAUGGACUCGCGGCUUAUCAGCUUGUUGGUGGGGUAGUGGCUUACCAAGGCUUUGACGGGUAGCCGGCCUGAGAGGGUGACCGGACACAUUGGGCCUGAGAUACGGCCCAGACUCCUACGGGAGGCAGCAGUGGGGAAUAUUGCACAAUGGGCGGAAGCCUGAUGCAGCAACGCCGCGUGCGGGAUGACGGCCUUCGGGUUGUAAACCGCUUUCGCCUGUGACGAAGCGUGAGUGACGGCAAUGGGUAAAGAAGCACCGGCUAACUACGUG